GAUGAACGCUGGCGGCGUGCCUAAUACAUGCAAGUCGAGCGAACGGACGAGAAGCUUGCUUCACUGAUGUUAGCGGCGGACGGGUGAGUAACACGUGGAUAACCUACCUAUAAGACUGGGAUAACUUCGGGAAACCGGAGCUAAUACCGGAUAAUAUUUUGAACCGAAUGGUUCAAAAGUGAAAGACGGUCUUGCUGUCACUUAUAGAUGGAUCCGCGCUGCAUUAGCUAGUUGGUAAGGUAACGGCUUACCAAGGCCACGAUGCAUAGCCGACCUGAGAGGGUGAUCGGCCACACUGGAACUGAGACACGGUCCAGACUCCUACGGGAGGCAGCAGUAGGGAAUCUUCCGCGAUGGGCGAAGGCCUGACGGAGCAACGCCGCGUGAGUGAUGAAGGUCUUCGGAUCGUAAAACUCUGUGAUUAGGGAAGAACAUAUGUGUAAGUAACUGUGCACAUCUUGACGGUACCUAAUCAGAAAGCCACGGCUAACUACGUG
This 497-nucleotide ribosomal RNA is filed under the name uncultured bacterium. RNAcentral's name for it is "partial 16S ribosomal RNA". It matches the Rfam family "Bacterial small subunit ribosomal RNA", at positions 28 to 507 of the family's 1533-position model. The record is from RNAcentral.